CGUAUGAAUCUACCUAGUAGUGGGGGAUAGCCCAGAGAAAUUUGGAUUAAUACCGCAUACGCCCUACGGGGGAAAGGAGGGGAUCUGUUUACAGACCUUUCGCUAUUAGAUGAGCCUGCGUGAGAUUAGCUUGUUGGUGAGGUAAAGGCUCACCAAGGCGACUAUCUCUAGCUGGUCUGAGAGGAUGAUCAGCCACACUGGGACUGAGACACGGCCCAGACUCCUACGGGAGGCAGCAGUGGGGAAUAUUGGACAAUGGGCGCAAGCCUGAUCCAGCCAUGCCGCGUGUGUGAAGAAGGCUUUCUGGUUGUAAAGCACUUUCAGCGAGGAGGAAAGGUUGACGUUUUAAUACGCGUCAGCUGUGACGUUACUCGCAUAAUAAGUUCCGGCUAUCUCCGUGCUU
This 403-nucleotide ribosomal RNA is filed under the name uncultured bacterium. Its description in RNAcentral is "bacterial SSU rRNA". It matches the Rfam family "Bacterial small subunit ribosomal RNA", at positions 116 to 510 of the family's 1533-position model. The record is from RNAcentral.